GACGAACGCUGGCGGCGUGCCUAAUACAUGCAAGUUGAGCGAUGAAGAUUGGUGCUUGCACCAAUUUGAAGAGCAGCGAACGGGUGAGUAACGCGUGGGGAAUCUGCCUUUGAGCGGGGGACAACAUUUGGAAACGAAUGCUAAUACCGCAUAACAACUUUUAACAUAAGUUUUAAGUUUGAAAGAUGCAAUUGCAUCACUCAAAGAUGAUCCCGCGUUGUAUUAGCUAGUUGGUGAGGUAAAGGCUCACCAAGGCGAUGAUACAUAGCCGACCUGAGAGGGUGAUCGGCCACAUUGGGACUGAGACACGGCCCAAACUCCUACGGGAGGCAGCAGUAGGGAAUCUUCGGCGAUGGACGAAAGUCUGACCGAGCAACGCCGCGUGAGUGAAGAAGGUUUUCGGAUCGUAAAACUCUGUUGGUAGAGAAGAACGUUGGUGAGAGUGGAAAGCUCAUCAAGUGACGGUAACUACCCAGAAAGGGACGGCUAACUACGUG
This 497-nucleotide ribosomal RNA is filed under the name uncultured bacterium. Its description in RNAcentral is "partial 16S ribosomal RNA". It matches the Rfam family "Bacterial small subunit ribosomal RNA", at positions 28 to 507 of the family's 1533-position model. The record is from RNAcentral.